UGUGAAUAGAUUUGGCAUUGUAUGA
RNAcentral lists this non-coding RNA (25 nucleotides) under Cricetulus griseus (Chinese hamster). Lineage: Eukaryota; Metazoa; Chordata; Mammalia; Rodentia; Cricetidae. The record is from RNAcentral.